Molecule: transfer RNA, 73 nt
Filed under: Bacteroidales bacterium
Lineage: Bacteria; Pseudomonadati; Bacteroidota; Bacteroidia; Bacteroidales
Also listed under: 3 other names
Description: tRNA-Trp
Rfam family: tRNA
About the family: Transfer RNA (tRNA) molecules are approximately 80 nucleotides in length. Their secondary structure includes four short double-helical elements and three loops (D, anti-codon, and T loops).
Source: RNAcentral
ACGGGAAUAGCUCAGUUGGUAGAGCACCGGUCUCCAAAACCGGGUGUCGAGAGUUCGAGUCUUUCUUCCCGUG